GACGAACGCUGGCGGCGUGCUUAACACAUGCAAGUCGAACGGGAUUUAGUAGCCAGACUCUUCGGUGGAAGAUUACUAAUUAGAUUGGCGAUCUGGUGCGUAACGCUUUAACAACCUUCCUCUGACAGUGGGAUAGCCACGGGAGCCCGGGAUUAAUACCGCAUAAUAUCUUAUAAACACAUGUUUCUACGGUCAAAGUUUUAUCGGUCGUAGAUGGGCUCGCGUCUGAUUAGCUAGUUGGUGAGAUAACAGCACACCAAGGCGACGAUCAGUAGCCGGUCGGAGAGGAUGAACGGCGACAUUGGAACUGAGACACGGAGCAAAAACCUACGGGAGGAAGCAGUGGGGAAUAUGGAACAAUGGGGCAAAGUCUGAGGAAGCGACGCCGCGUGAACGAAGAAGGUAUUCGUAUCGUAAAGUUCUGGCCUAGGGGAAGAGAAUGAAAGUACCAUAGAAGAAAGCUCCGGCUAAAUACGUG
This 478-nucleotide ribosomal RNA is filed under the name uncultured bacterium. RNAcentral's name for it is "partial 16S ribosomal RNA". It matches the Rfam family "Bacterial small subunit ribosomal RNA", at positions 28 to 507 of the family's 1533-position model. The record is from RNAcentral.